UAGAUGCGGAGAUAUUGGCGUGCCUCAAUUCGAAGACAUGGCUAAAGUGAUCAGUUUAUGUAGCCUUGUAAUUGGAUUGAGCCGCGUCAAUAUCUCCCUCAGCUCC
RNAcentral lists this microRNA precursor (106 nucleotides) under Ananas comosus (pineapple). The record is from RNAcentral. Lineage: Eukaryota; Viridiplantae; Streptophyta; Magnoliopsida; Poales; Bromeliaceae.